RNAcentral lists this ribosomal RNA (620 nucleotides) under uncultured Biddulphia. RNAcentral's name for it is "bacterial SSU rRNA". It matches the Rfam family "Bacterial small subunit ribosomal RNA", at positions 122 to 770 of the family's 1533-position model. The record is from RNAcentral. Lineage: Eukaryota; Bacillariophyta; Biddulphiophyceae; Biddulphiales; Biddulphiaceae.
GAAUUUGCCUUUAGGAGGGGGAUAACAACUGGAAACGGUUGCUAAUACCCCAUAUGCUUUAGAGUGAAAUAGAUUUAUCUGCCUAGAGAGAAGCUCGCGGCUGAUUAGCUUGUUGGUAAGGUAAUAGCUUACCAAGGCGACGAUCAGUAUCUGGUUUGAGAGGACGAUCAGACACACUGGAACUGAGACACGGUCCAGACUCCUACGGGAGGCAGCAGUGGGGAAUUUUCCGCAAUGGGCGAAAGCCUGACGGAGCAAUACCGCGUGAGGGAAGACGGCCUAUGGGUUGUAAACCUCUUUUUUCAGGGAGGAAUUCAAUGACGUGUACCUGAAGAAUAAGCAUCGGCUAACUCCGUGCCAGCAGCCGCGGUAAGACGGAGGAUGCAAGUGUUAUCCGGAAUCACUGGGCGUAAAGCGUCUGUAGGUGGUCCAAUAAGUCAACUGUUAAAUCUUGAGGCUCAACCUCAAAAUUGCAGUCGAAACUAUUAGACUUGAGUAUAGUAGGGGUAAAGGGAAUUUCCAGUGGAGCGGUGAAAUGCGUAGAGAUUGGAAAGAACACCGAUGGCGAAGGCACUUUACUGGGCUAUUACUAACACUCAGAGACGAAAGCUAGGGUAGCA